This 446-nucleotide ribosomal RNA is filed under the name uncultured bacterium. Its description in RNAcentral is "partial 16S ribosomal RNA". It matches the Rfam family "Bacterial small subunit ribosomal RNA", at positions 338 to 795 of the family's 1533-position model. The record is from RNAcentral.
CCUACGGGAGGCUGCAGUAGGGAAUAUUGCUCAAUGGGGGAAACCCUGAUGGUGCGACGCCGCGUGGGGGAAUGAAGGUCUUCGGAUUGUAAACCCCUGUCAUGUGGGAGCAAAUUAAAAAGAUAGUACCACAAGAGGAAGAGACGGCUAACUCGGUGCCAGCAGCCGCGGUAAUACAGAGGUCGCAAGCGUUGUUCGGAAUCACUGGGCGUAAAGCGUGCGGAGGCUGUUUCGUAAGUCGUGUGUGAAAGGCGCGGGCUCAACCCGCGGACGGCACAUGAUACUGGGAGACUAGAGUAAUGGAGGGGGUACCGGAAUUCUCGGUGUAGCAGUGAAAUGCGUAGAUAUCGAGAGGAACACUCGUGGCGAAGGCGGGUUCCUGGACAUUAACUGACGCUGAGGCACGAAGGCCAGGGGAGCGAAAGGGAUUAGAUACCCUUGUAGUC